Molecule: ribosomal RNA, 300 nt
Filed under: uncultured Desulfurococcus sp.
Lineage: Archaea; Thermoproteati; Thermoproteota; Thermoprotei; Desulfurococcales; Desulfurococcaceae
Description: bacterial SSU rRNA
Rfam family: Bacterial small subunit ribosomal RNA (bases 53-300)
Source: RNAcentral
UGAAACGUGGGGGGAGCGUCGUGGGGAAUACGAGGGGUGCAAGAUGUGCGCUGAAUUGGUGGGGGUAAAGCGCACGUGGGGGGCUUAGCAAGUCCCAGGUGAAAUCCCACGGCUUAAACGUGGAGGUGCAUGGGAAACUGCUGAGCUUGAGUACUUAAGAGGUUCGCGGAAUUCCCGGUGUAGAGGUGAAAGUCGUAGAUAUCGGGAGGAACACCAGUGGCGAAGGCGGCGAUCUGGGAAGAUACUGACGCUGAGGUGCGAAAGCGUGGGGAGCAAACAGGAUUAGAUACCCCUGUAGUC